RNAcentral lists this ribosomal RNA (468 nucleotides) under uncultured bacterium. Its description in RNAcentral is "partial 16S ribosomal RNA". It matches the Rfam family "Bacterial small subunit ribosomal RNA", at positions 28 to 507 of the family's 1533-position model. The record is from RNAcentral.
GACGAACGCUGGCGGCGUGCUUAACACAUGCAAGUCGAACGGAAAGGCCCUGCUUUUGUGGGGUGCUCGAGUGGCGAACGGGUGAGUAACACGUGAGUAACCUGCCCUUGACUUUGUGAUAACUUCAGGAAACUGGGGCUAAUACCGGAUAGGAGCUCCUGCUGCAUGGUGGGGGUUGGAAAGUUUCGGCGGUUGGGGAUGGACUCGCGGCUUAUCAGCUUGUUGGUGGGGUAGUGGCUUACCAAGGCUUUGACGGGUAGCCGGCCUGAGAGGGUGAACGGGCACAGUGGGACUGAGAGACGGAGCAGACUGCUACGGGAGGCAGCAGUGGGGAAUAUUGCACAAUGGGGGGAAGCCUGAUGCAGCAACGCCGCGUGCGGGAUGACGGCCUUCGGGUUGUAAACCGCUUUGGCAUGUGACGAAGAGUGAGUGACGGUAAUGGGUAAAGAAGCACCGGCUAACUACGUG